RNAcentral lists this ribosomal RNA (301 nucleotides) under uncultured fungus. RNAcentral's name for it is "SSU rRNA". It matches the Rfam family "Eukaryotic small subunit ribosomal RNA", at positions 1448 to 1745 of the family's 1831-position model. Lineage: Eukaryota; Fungi. The record is from RNAcentral.
AGGCAAUAACAGGUCUGUGAUGCCCUUAGAUGUUCUGGGCCGCACGCGCGCUACACUGAUCAAGUCAACGAGUUUACAACCUUGGCCGGAAGGUCUGGGUAAUCUUUUGAAACUUGAUCGUGCUGGGGAUAGUCCAUUGCAAUUAUUGGACUUCAACGAGGAAUUCCUAGUAAGCGUGAGUCAUCAGCUCGCGUUGAUUACGUCCCUGCCCUUUGUACACACCGCCCGUCGCUACUACCGAUUGAAUGGCUUAGUGAGGCUUUCGGAUUGGAUUUUGAGCGAGCUGGCACAGCAAGCUAGG